GGAGUAUAGUUCAACGGUUAGAAUAACGGUCUCCAAAACCGAUGAUGCGGGUUCGAUUCCUGCUACUC
Molecule: transfer RNA, 68 nt
Filed under: pig gut metagenome
Rfam family: tRNA
About the family: Transfer RNA (tRNA) molecules are approximately 80 nucleotides in length. Their secondary structure includes four short double-helical elements and three loops (D, anti-codon, and T loops).
Source: RNAcentral